RNAcentral lists this ribosomal RNA (469 nucleotides) under uncultured bacterium. RNAcentral's name for it is "partial 16S ribosomal RNA". It matches the Rfam family "Bacterial small subunit ribosomal RNA", at positions 28 to 507 of the family's 1533-position model. The record is from RNAcentral.
GAUGAACGCUGGCGGCGUGCUUAUCACAUGCAAGUCGAACGGUGAAGCUCCAGCUUGCUGGAGUGGAUCAGUGGCGAACGGGUGAGUAACACGUGAGCAACCUGCCCCUGACUCUGGGAUAACAGCCGGAAACGGCUGCUAAUACCGGAUAUGCACCAUGAACGCAUGUUCUGUGGUGGGAAAGAUUUUUCGGUUGGGGAUGGGCUCGCGGCCUAUCAGCUUGUUGGUGAGGUAAUGGCUCACCAAGGCGUCGACGGGUAGCCGGCCUGAGAGGGUGACCGGCCACACUGGGACUGAGACACGGCCCAGACUCCUACGGGAGGCAGCAGUGGGGAAUAUUGCACAAUGGGCGAAAGCCUGAUGCAGCAACGCCGCGUGAGGGAUGACGGCCUUCGGGUUGUAAACCUCUUUUAGCAGGGAAGAAGCGAGAGUGACGGUACCUGCAGAAAAAGCGCCGGCUAACUACGUG